AUGAGCUCCAUGGACGACACCACCCAUGGAGGCCUCUUUGUUGAGGAAUCGAAGUCGUGGCCGGAGGUGGUGGGGAAGUCCAUCAAGGAGGCCGGGGAGAUCAUUCUCAAGGACAAGCAUGAUGAUGAUAUCGUCGUCCUCCCAGCAGGGGCACAGGUCGCCCUGGACUUGAGGCCCAAAUGUGUGCCCAUCUUUGUCGACACCGUGGCCGAAACACCUUUUACUGGCUAG
Molecule: ribosomal RNA, 231 nt
Filed under: Triticum aestivum (bread wheat)
Lineage: Eukaryota; Viridiplantae; Streptophyta; Magnoliopsida; Poales; Poaceae
Description: partial small subunit ribosomal RNA
Source: RNAcentral